CAGAGUUCAUGCCCUCAUGGGUAGAUCUCCCACCCUUGUGUAUUCCUACCUGUGUUGCUUUGGCAGGCCGCUGGGCUUCGGCCUGGCCACCGGCUGCGUAGCUGGUGCGUGCCUGCCAGAGGGUUUUUUAACUCUGGUCAUCAGUGUCGUCUGAGUAAUUAUACAAUCGUUA
This 172-nucleotide unclassified non-coding RNA is filed under the name uncultured Helotiales. RNAcentral's name for it is "sequence contains ITS1". The record is from RNAcentral. Lineage: Eukaryota; Fungi; Ascomycota; Leotiomycetes; Helotiales.